Molecule: ribosomal RNA, 407 nt
Filed under: uncultured bacterium
Lineage: Bacteria
Description: partial 16S ribosomal RNA
Rfam family: Bacterial small subunit ribosomal RNA
Source: RNAcentral
AUUGAACGCUGGCGGCAGGCCUAACACAUGCAAGUCGAGCGGAGCGGCGGAAGGGGGAGUAAUGCCUAGGAAUCUGCCUGGUAGUGGGGGAGAACGUGCGGAAACGGGCGCUAAUACCGCAGAGUAUCAGAUGAGGCCAGGUGGGAUUAGCUAGGUGGGGGGGGAAAGGCCUAGCAAGGCGACGAUCCGUAACGGGUCUGAGAGGAUGAUCAGGCACCCUGGAGCUGGGACACGGUCCAGAAUCCUUCGGGAGGCAGCAGUGGGGAAGAUUGGACAAUGGGCGAAAGCCUGACCCAGGCAUCGCGCGUGUGUGAAGAAGGUCUUCUGUUUGUGAAGCACUCUAAGUUGGUGUGCGGUACCUAAAGAAUAAGCACCGGCUAACUUCGUGCCAGCAGCCGCGGUAAUUC